Medicago truncatula (barrel medic) is the source of this 1516-nucleotide long non-coding RNA. RefSeq lists it as uncharacterized. NCBI's taxonomy places the organism in Eukaryota, Viridiplantae, Streptophyta, Magnoliopsida, Fabales, Fabaceae. The transcript has 3 exons. The record is from RefSeq and is a predicted model, not a curated record.
UAGAGAUUCAUUUUCUUAAGCCGUCUAGAGUUGCUUUUGAGACCCAAAAAUUUUCAAUUUAAUGCGAGCUCAAGUCAACUUUCACUUAGCAAAAAUUCCUUUGCGGCAGCAAACAUUAAUAUGUCUUCUUUUUCAUCAUACUUUGUUGUUUUACAUUCUUUUUAUGAUGUUAUAAAAUGUUCUUAUCUGUUAACUAUAUUAUAUAAAUGCAAACACCAUACAUAUAAAUAAUAUAUAAUAUUAACCACUAACUAAAAGAAGAAAGAAACAAAGGAGACACCAAAUAGGAGGAAGUGUCAAAAAAAGGAAGUGGGAAGUGAACUAAGGUAGAGAGGAGUAAAGAUCAAUGAGGGUUGGUAUAAAGUUUAUGGUAGAAAUAUUUGUGAUGAUUAUUGCAUUGCAUAAAUAUGUAUAUAUACACAAAAAGAAUAGUCAAAGUCCUGACUAUCAAAUUGUAACGGUUAUCCCUCAAUCAAUUACAAUAAUAUUUAAACAAAUACAAAUGAAUACAUAUUAAAUAUAAAAAAUAUUUAGUAUUUUAAUACACUAUUUUAGUUAAAAUUGGAGGUUGUCGGAUGUUGAAAUUAUGUUUAUGGUUGUCAAAGAGUUGUGAUGAAAGUUCCUUAUUGAAGAUGAAAGUUAUUUGAUAUGAUGAAGGAACGUGUAAUACUCAUAUCUGACCAUGAACAACUUUCUCACACACAAAAUUUAUAUUCUUGGCUCCUAUAGGGUUUGGAGGAUUUGUUCCGAUGCAUUUGUAAUCGAGUCUUUCACGGUGCAAGAUGUUUUAUGUUCAGAUGAGCAGCCAAGGCAGGUCCAAUUCCUUAAGAUGUUGUUGGGGUAGAUGGAGAUGCUGGUGAUUUAGAGUGUGAGGAUGUGGUGAUGUUUAUUUCAUUGAAGAGACUCGGGCAAAGGAAUUUACUUCCCGUGUACUUGAGACCCCGAAAUCCCCUCAUGGUGUUGGAUGUUUGACCAAGUCUCCUCCUCUUGCGAAGGAUGAUGUUGAUGUCAAUGCAUCUGAUUUCACUAUCAAUUUAAGUGAUGAUUAAUGAUCUUGCUCAUGUAUCUGAGGUUUUGGCGAAUAUGUUACCUAUCAAUUCAGUUAAGCGCGUCCUAAAUGCUGCAUUUGAAGAGGUUGAUGUUCAAAAGCUUUCCCUGUCCCUUAAGAGUGCUAGGACUGGAAAAGAAUGACGUGUUGAUGGGAACGUGGAUGUUGGUGAAUGUUUAGGGGAUGAAGUUUGUAUGGUCCUGAUAUAAGUUAAUUGCAAUAUGGUUAUGUGUUUGUUGAUAAAAAGUGCCUUCCUAUUUGUUGGGAAAUUGUUGUUUGAUGUUUGAUUGUGGAUUUAUUCUACAUAUUCAGUACAUAGGAGUUGUGUGUGGAAUCUGAUUUUCCAAACCAUUUGCUAUGUUAUGGACUGUAGUUUAGGGUGACAAUGUAAUGCACUAUGUUUUGAACCAUGUUUAUUUCCAUGUUGUUUGAUAAUUAUCUAAUGAUCAGUUAUGUUUGUGUGUCAAA